RNAcentral lists this ribosomal RNA (487 nucleotides) under uncultured bacterium. RNAcentral's name for it is "partial 16S ribosomal RNA". It matches the Rfam family "Bacterial small subunit ribosomal RNA", at positions 30 to 504 of the family's 1533-position model. The record is from RNAcentral.
AUUGAACGCUGGCGGCAGGCCUAACACAUGCAAGUCGAACGGUAACAGGAAGCAGCUUGCUGCUUCGCUGACGAGUGGCGGACGGGUGAGUAAUGUCUGGGAAGCUGCCUGAUGGAGGGGGAUAACUACUGGAAACGGUAGCUAAUACCGCAUAAUGUCGCAAGACCAAAGAGGGGGACCUUCGGGCCUCUUGCCAUCGGAUGUGCCCAGAUGGGAUUAGCUUGUUGGUGGGGUAACGGCUCACCAAGGCGACGAUCCCUAGCUGGUCUGAGAGGAUGACCGGCCACACUGGGACUGAGACACGGUCCAGACUCCUACGGAAGGCAGCAGGGGGGAAUAUUGCACAAUGGGCGCAAGCCUGAUGCAGCCAUGCCGCGUGUAUGAAGAAGGCCUUCGGGUUGUAAAGUACUUUCAGCGGGGAGGAAGGGAGUAAAGUUAAUACCUUUGCUCAUUGACGUUACCCGCAGAAGAAGCACCGGCUAACUCC